UUUCUUUACGCCGACCUCAGAGCAGGU
Molecule: ribosomal RNA, 27 nt
Filed under: Calopteryx haemorrhoidalis
Lineage: Eukaryota; Metazoa; Arthropoda; Insecta; Odonata; Calopterygidae
Description: partial 28S ribosomal RNA
Source: RNAcentral